GAUGAACGCUGGCGGCGUGCCUAAUACAUGCAAGUCGAGCGAACAGACGAGGAGCUUGCUCCUCUGACGUUAGCGGCUGACGGGUGAGUAACACGUGGAUAACCUACCUAUAAGACUGGGAUAACUUCGGGAAACCGGAGCUAAUACCGGAUAAUAUAUUGAACCGCAUGGUUCAAUAGUGAAAGACGGUUUUGCUGUUACUUAUAGAUGGAUCCGCGCCGCAUUAGCUAGUUGGUAAGGUAACGGCUUACCAAGGCGACGAUGCGUAGCCGACCUGAGAGGGUGAUCGGCCACACUGGAACUGAGACACGGUCCAGACUCCUACGGGAGGCAGCAGUAGGGAAUCUUCCGCAAUGGGCGAAAGCCUGACGGAGCAACGCCGCGUGAGUGAUGAAGGUCUUCGGAUCGUAAAACUCUGUUAUUAGGGAAGAACAAAUGUGUAAGUAACUAUGCACGUCUUGACGGUACCUAAUCAGAAAGCCACGGCUAACUACGUG
RNAcentral lists this ribosomal RNA (497 nucleotides) under uncultured bacterium. RNAcentral describes it as "partial 16S ribosomal RNA". It matches the Rfam family "Bacterial small subunit ribosomal RNA", at positions 28 to 507 of the family's 1533-position model. The record is from RNAcentral.